GAGGAGGGGGGGAAGAAUGCAGAGUGAACAUAGGUUGCCGAGUACGGCAGAAGGAGAGGAAGCGGGUAAAAACCAAACCAAAACAAAACAAACUAACAAAAAACCACAGCUCGCUGCUGUCAACCGGCGAGAGGGGAAAAGAAGGUGGAAGAAAAAUUAAACGUGGAAUGAAGUUAGGCUUGAAGUGAGGCCAAACCCAGCGGUCGCCUGCUUCCUGUGCGAUUUUGCUUUGAGUUGCAUGGACGAGACGCUUUUUAAGUUGUCUUUCUGCCCCACGCUGAUCUCCUCGGCUCCCGCCUUCCACUGCAGCAGCUGCCCGUCCUCUCCGCCUGUCAGCAAGGCCCCACCCACCGCGUCCCACUGGAAACACCUCACCGUGGAAGAAUGGCCGCCACUCAGUGACUUCAUCAGCUUCGGUUCGCCGCCACUGCAGUCCAGCAGCCGGAGCUCUCCGCUAUGGGAUCCGCCCACCACGACCAGGCGACCUGCUUCUUCCAGCCACGUUCCGCCUACAAAGUAGUCCAGAGAAGUUCCAUCGGGUAAAGAGAUGAGGGUUCGAGCGUCGGACGAACCGAAGAGCGUGAACGAGUCGUCGCUGUCCAGCCGAGACAAAUCCCACAGAUGGAGGCCUUCGUCGUGAGUGAGACACAGCAGCUGGUCCUGAUAUUUACCUAAAAAUAAAAAAAUCUAGUUUGGUGAAUGCUUC
Long non-coding RNA from Ictalurus furcatus (blue catfish), 706 nucleotides. RefSeq lists it as uncharacterized. The transcript is spliced from 2 exons. The record is from RefSeq and is a predicted model, not a curated record. Lineage: Eukaryota; Metazoa; Chordata; Actinopteri; Siluriformes; Ictaluridae.